UUGGAGGGCAAGUCUGGUGCCAGCAGCCGCGGUAAUUCCAGCUCCAAUAGCGUAUAUUAAAGUUGUUGCAGUUAAAAAGCUCGUAGUUGAAUUUCGGGAUCAGACUGUCGGUCGUGCCUCGGUACGCACUGGCAUUAUUGGUUCCUAACUUCUGAAGAACCGCGAUGUCAUUAAUUUGGUGUCGCGGGGAAUCAGGACUGUUACUUUGAAAAAAUUAGAGUGUUUAAAGCAGGCGCACGCUUGAAUACAUUAGCAUGGAAUAAUGAAAUAGGACGUUUGAUUCUAUUUUGUUGGUUUCUAGGAUCGACGUAAUGAUUAAUAGGGAUAGUUGGGGGCAUUAGUAUUCAAUUGUCAGAGGUGAAAUUCUUGGAUUUAUUGAAGACUAACUACUGCGAAAGCAUUUGCCAAGGAUGUUUUCAUUAAUCAAGAACGAAAGUUAGGGGAUCGAAGACGAUCAGAUACCGUCGUAGUCUUAACCAUAAACUAUGCCGACUAGGGAUCGGAUGAUGUUAAUUUUAUAAUGACUCAUUCGGCGCCUUACGGGAAAC
RNAcentral lists this ribosomal RNA (548 nucleotides) under uncultured Glomus. RNAcentral's name for it is "SSU rRNA". It matches the Rfam family "Eukaryotic small subunit ribosomal RNA", at positions 548 to 1098 of the family's 1831-position model. Lineage: Eukaryota; Fungi; Glomeromycota; Glomeromycetes; Glomerales; Glomeraceae. The record is from RNAcentral.